CCAAUAGCGUAUAUUAAAGUUGUUGCAGUUAAAAAGCUCGUAGUUGAAUUUCGGGAUCAAGGAAUCGGUCAUGCCUUGGUAUGUACUGGUUUUAUUGGAUCUCACCUUCUAAAGAACCAUAAUGUCAUUUAUUUGAUGUUAUGGGGAAUUAGGACUGUUACCUUGAAAAAAUUAGAGUGUUUAAAGCAGGCUCACGCUUGAAUACAUUAGCAUGGAAUAAUGAAAUAGGACGUUUGAUUCUAUUUUGUUGGUUUCUAGGAUCGACGUAAUGAUUAAUAGGGCUAGUUGGGGGCAUUAGUAUUCAAUUGUCAGAGGUGAAAUUCUUGGAUUUAUUGAAGACUAACUACUGCGAAAGCAUUUGCCAAGGAUGUUUUCAUUAAUCAAGAACGAAAGUUAGGGGAUCGAAGACGAUCAGAUACCGUCGUAGUCUUAACCAUAAACUAUGCCGACUAGGGAUCGGAUGAUGUUAAUUUUUUAAUGACUCAUUCGGCGCCUUACG
This 499-nucleotide ribosomal RNA is filed under the name uncultured Glomus. RNAcentral describes it as "SSU rRNA". It matches the Rfam family "Eukaryotic small subunit ribosomal RNA", at positions 591 to 1092 of the family's 1831-position model. Lineage: Eukaryota; Fungi; Glomeromycota; Glomeromycetes; Glomerales; Glomeraceae. The record is from RNAcentral.